ACUGGGUGUGGUUGCGAAUGCCUGUAAUCCCAGUGGCUCAGGAGGCUGAGAUAGGAGGAUCAUGAGUUCAAAGCCAGCUUCAGCAAAAAGCAAGGUGCUGAGCAACUCAGUGAGACCCUGUCUCUA
This 126-nucleotide small RNA is filed under the name Marmota monax (woodchuck). Lineage: Eukaryota; Metazoa; Chordata; Mammalia; Rodentia; Sciuridae. The record is from RNAcentral.